RNAcentral lists this ribosomal RNA (429 nucleotides) under uncultured bacterium. RNAcentral's name for it is "bacterial SSU rRNA". It matches the Rfam family "Bacterial small subunit ribosomal RNA", at positions 355 to 775 of the family's 1533-position model. The record is from RNAcentral.
UGGGGAAUCUUGCGCAAUGGGGGAAACCCUGACGCAGCAACGCCGCGUGGGUGAUGAAGGUCUUCGGAUCGUAAAGCCCUGUCGGAGGGGAAGAUGCUUAGUGUGGCUAACAUCCACAUUAGGUGACGGUACCCUCAAAGGAAGCACCGGCUAACUCUGUGCCAGCAGCCGCGGUAAUACAGAGGGUGCAAGCGUUGUUCGGAAUUAUUGGUCGUAAAGGGAGUGUAGGCGGUUUGUUAAGUCUUCUGUGAAAGCUACGGGCUCAGCCCGUAAAGUGCAGAGGAAACUGGCAGACUUGAGUGUUGGAGAGGGCAGGGGAAUACCCAGUGUAGAGGUGAAAUUCGUAGAGAUUGGGUGGAACACCAGUGGCGAAGGCGCCUGCCUGGCUGAUGACUGACGCUGAGACUCGAAAGCAUGGGGAGCAAACAG